This 435-nucleotide long non-coding RNA is filed under the name Neogobius melanostomus (round goby). RNAcentral's name for it is "lncRNA (ENSNMLG00000025449.1)". Lineage: Eukaryota; Metazoa; Chordata; Actinopteri; Gobiiformes; Gobiidae. The record is from RNAcentral.
GUCCCUUUAAGGAAGAAAGGAAGUUACUUGGUGUCUUCAGCUCAAAUAAAUGACACAAAUGUAGAGCUGUUCCAUGUCCUUUGCAAAUGGACCACAGUGGUUUGGGGCAGCGCCCCCACAAAUGUGCACGCUAGAAUGUGCAUUACUGAGCAACAGAACGGCGAUGAAAAUAAUGUGGACAAACGCUGCCUCUCGUUGGGGUUUAGGGAAUUAUUCAGAGGUGCCAAGGCAAAUACUAGAGGAAAGAAUCAGCUAAAAGAUGAAGAUCCCGGGCCGUUGUGGAGUAGGGGCGCUCCCCAAAGGCUGUACUGCCCCGUGGGGAUAGGCUUCCACCUGCAGAUCCCGUCCGGAGGAGGGGUCCAGGGCGUGCACAUCCCAGACGAGUCCUGUGAGUCCCUCCACAUGUUCUCCACUGCAGCUCUGCGAAGGAGAUAA